AUAAGCUGAGGACAGAGGAAUAAGACGGAGAUGAGUUAUUAUCGAACCAAGGGAGAAUUUCCAUCUUAAAAGCCACUACAAGAAAGAAAGAUUAUAAAAGCUGAUUCUUCUUGAGGCUGCUCUCCUGCUUUGUCUGUCCUGUUCUCUUCUUAGUGGGUGAUGUCCCAGCAGCUCUAACCCUCAGACUUCAGCACCUCUCUAGUUAACAGGCA
Molecule: long non-coding RNA, 212 nt
Filed under: Zonotrichia albicollis (white-throated sparrow)
Lineage: Eukaryota; Metazoa; Chordata; Aves; Passeriformes; Passerellidae
Description: lncRNA (ENSZALG00000012718.1)
Source: RNAcentral